RNAcentral lists this ribosomal RNA (732 nucleotides) under uncultured Campylobacter sp. Its description in RNAcentral is "bacterial SSU rRNA". It matches the Rfam family "Bacterial small subunit ribosomal RNA", at positions 28 to 776 of the family's 1533-position model. Lineage: Bacteria; Pseudomonadati; Campylobacterota; Epsilonproteobacteria; Campylobacterales; Campylobacteraceae. The record is from RNAcentral.
AGUGAACGCUGGCGGCGUGCCUAAUACAUGCAAGUCGAACGGAAUUUAAAAGAGCUUGCUCUUUUAAAUUUAGUGGCGCACGGGUGAGUAAUAUAUAGCUAAUCUGCCCCUUGCUGGAGGACAACAGUUAGAAAUGACUGCUAAUACUCCAUACUCCUUUUUACCAUAAGAUAAAUCGGGAAAGAAUUUCGGCAAGGGAUGAGACUAUAUCGUAUCAGCUAGUCGGUGGGGUAACGGCCUACCGAGGCUAUGACGCGUAACUGGUCUGAGAGGAUGAUCAGUCACAUUGGAACUGAGACACGGUCCAAACUCCUACGGGAGGCAGCAGUAGGGAAUAUUGCGCAAUGGGGGAAACCCUGACGCAGCAACGCCGCGUGGAGGAUGACACUUUUCGGAGCGUAAACUCCUUUUGUUAGGGAAGAAUAAUGACGGUACCUAACGAAUAAGCACCGGCUAACUCCGUGCCAGCAGCCGCGGUAAUACGGAGGGUGCAAGCGUUACUCGGAAUCACUGGGCGUAAAGGACGCGUAGGCGGAUUAUCAAGUCUCUUGUGAAAUCUAACGGCUCAGCCGUUAAACUGCUUGGGAAACUGAUAAUCUAGAGUAAGGGAGAGGCAGAUGGAAUUCUUGGUGUAGGGGUAAAAUCCGUAGAUAUCAAGAAGAAUACCUAUUGCGAAGGCGAUCUGCUGGAACUUAACUGACGCUAUGCGUGAAAGCGUGGGGAGCAAACAGG